RNAcentral lists this ribosomal RNA (459 nucleotides) under uncultured bacterium. RNAcentral's name for it is "partial 16S ribosomal RNA". It matches the Rfam family "Bacterial small subunit ribosomal RNA", at positions 338 to 795 of the family's 1533-position model. The record is from RNAcentral.
CCUACGGGUGGCAGCAGUGAGGAAUAUUGGUCAAUGGGCGGGAGCCUGAACCAGCCAAGCCGCGUGAGGGAAGAAGGUACAGCGUAUCGUACACCUCUUUUGUCAGGGAACAAAGGCGGGGACUAGUCCCCGGAUGAGGGUACCUGAAGAAAAAGCAUCGGCUAACUCCGUGCCAGCAGCCGCGGUAAUACGGAGGAUGCGGUGGUUAUCCGGAGUUAUUGGGUUUAAAGGGUGGGCAGGCGGCCUGUUAAGUCAGCGGGAAAAGCCCGGGGCGCAACCCCGGCGAGCCGUUGAAACUGGCGGGCUGGAGUUGGAGAGAAGUACGCGGAAUGCGCGGUGUAGCGGUGAAAUGCUUAGAUAUCGCGCAGAACCCCGAUUGCGAAGGCAGCGUACCGGCUCCACACUGACGCUGAGGCACGAAAGCGUGGGUAUCGAACAGGAUUAGAUACCCGAGUAGUC